This 296-nucleotide ribosomal RNA is filed under the name Salmonella enterica subsp. enterica serovar Kentucky. RNAcentral describes it as "partial 23S ribosomal RNA". It matches the Rfam family "Bacterial large subunit ribosomal RNA", at positions 1134 to 1347 of the family's 2925-position model. RNAcentral also lists the same sequence under 10 other names. The record is from RNAcentral. Lineage: Bacteria; Pseudomonadati; Pseudomonadota; Gammaproteobacteria; Enterobacterales; Enterobacteriaceae.
GUAAUAGCUCACUGGUCGAGUCGGCCUGCGCGGAAGAUGUAACGGGGCUAAACCAUGCACCGAAGCUGCGGCAGCGAACGUAUCACUUAAAGCGAUUCAGCGGAUGACGAUUGACGGAGCGAAGCGACGUCAAAGCGUAUACAAAGUCGAGUCGGUUUAAGGAUACGUUCGUUGGGUAGGGGAGCGUUCUGUAAGCCUGUGAAGGUGGCCUGUGAGGGUUGCUGGAGGUAUCAGAAGUGCGAAUGCUGACAUAAGUAACGAUAAAGCGGGUGAAAAGCCCGCUCGCCGGAAGACCA